This 1488-nucleotide long non-coding RNA is filed under the name Capsicum annuum. RNAcentral's name for it is "long non-coding RNA (CANN_LNC009126)". The record is from RNAcentral. Lineage: Eukaryota; Viridiplantae; Streptophyta; Magnoliopsida; Solanales; Solanaceae.
AGAUGCACACCUUACUUGGACCCCACCAUUUUUGUUGUCAUUUUGUCAUACGCACAUAGACACCUUACUGUAUAUAAAUAGAAAUAAGGACAACAACAAUGAGAGAUUUUCUUUUGGAUCAUCAUCCUUUUGAGCAAAGAAAGGAUGCCAUUUUCUCUUCUUCUUGGAUAAAAUAGCGUGAUUUUUUUUCUGGACAGCAUAUAAAAAAUGGCACGCACACAUACACACAUAGAAUAAAGGGAGAUUAAGAGAGACAGAAAUCGAGAGAAGGAGGGAGAGAGAAUCGAAAAAAAAGGGGGAGGGUUACAGCUCCGGCGAGUUUCGCCUGAGAGCCGUCGGAGUUCGAUCCCGUUCGUUGGAUAUUGUUGCUGCCUGAGUUCUCCGGAUCGCCAUUGACACUACAAUAACAAAUCCGCUCCAAUCUGAACAAACCCAAAUGGAGCAGUAAUUGGGUGCACGAAUUGGUACGGGUCUCUCGUUGUUUCUAGAUUUUUGUUUUAGGUUGACGAAAACAGAGUGCGGGGUGAGAUUCGGGAAUCUGAUUUUGAUAUUCGAGGUCGAGAUCUGAUUUGGAGUUCGUGUUGAGGUUCCGAUGCGGAUUUCAUUUCGUUUAAUUGAAUAACAUUUGAAAGCGGCAUUGAGGUUCAAUUCUUUCUUCUCUUCCUCUUAAUUCUUAUGUGAUUAUGAACUUGAUUUGAUUGCGUGAAUCAUUGGUGAUUAUGAUUGUUGGAUUUUGUUGAUGUUGUGAUCAUGUGCUUGACAAUGUAAUUUCGGCGAUAUGUGGUGCGAAUUUGAGUAUUGUUGAUGGUGUGAUUGAUAAAAAUGAAGCUAGAUGGGGUGAAAUUAACAAAUUGACAAAAUGGGUGAAUAUAGAUCAAUUUUGAUUUAUUGCCAUUUGGUUUAAUUCAGAAUAAGCAUGAAUGUGGUUGAAUCCGAUAGUGCCAUGUUGUAGGUCGAGAAGGAAUAGGCAAGCUGUUGUAGGUCGAGAAGGAAUAGGCAAGCCGUAGGUCGGGUAGGCAAAUCUAGAGAUUGUGGAUUGAUUGAAUGUUUGAGAUGUGUAUUGAGAUGAUUUUGUUUUAUCUUUAUUUGACUCAAUUGUACUCAUUUGGCCAGAGAAUGCCUCGAAGUAUCUGUAUUGUUUUAUUCGGGGAAUGCCUCGAGAAAGUUGUACUUGAAGAUGGUGCACGGUCAAGGUCCGAGGCGUCGGGUAAAGCAACGGAGUUUAGCCUAGGACUAGUUUAGAAUACGAUUUUUAUUUUUGCGUUUUCCUAUUUUGGUUUGUAAUAAUCGGAUUGGACAUUUUGAUUUUGGAUUUGUUUUUUGUUGUUGAUUUGAUUGAUUGUUUUGUGUGUUUUAUGUGGCUUAUACAUUUGUAGUGUUAAAAUUAGCUGAUACUCUCCGCCAAGCGAUCGUGGUCAAACCACGGGAUCGAGGGGUGCCUAACACUUUCUCCUCGGUCAACAGAAUUCCUUAGCCGAAAUCUCUGUU